Molecule: ribosomal RNA, 498 nt
Filed under: uncultured bacterium
Lineage: Bacteria
Description: partial 16S ribosomal RNA
Rfam family: Bacterial small subunit ribosomal RNA
Source: RNAcentral
GACGAACGCUGGCGGCGUGCCUAAUACAUGCAAGUCGAACGAGAGCGACCGGUGCUUGCACUGGUCAAUCUAGUGGCGAACGGGUGAGUAGCACGUGGGUAACCUGCCCAUCAGAGGGGGAUAACAUCCGGAAACGGAUGCUAAAACCGCAUAGGUCUUCGAGCCGCAUGGCUUGAAGAGGAAAAGAGGCGCAAGCUUCUGCUGAUGGAUGGACCCGCGGUGCAUUAGCUAGUUGGUGAGGUAACGGCUCACCAAGGCCGUGAUGCAUAGCCGACCUGAGAGGGUGAUCGGCCACAUUGGGACUGAGACACGGCCCAAACUCCUACGGGAGGCAGCAGUAGGGAAUCUUCCGCAAUGGACGCAAGUCUGACGGAGCAACGCCGCGUGAGUGAAGAAGGUUUUCGGAUCGUAAAACUCUGUUGUUAGAGAAGAACAAGUGCUAGAGUAACUGUUAGCGCCUUGACGGUAUCUAACCAGAAAGCCACGGCUAACUACGUG